This 323-nucleotide ribosomal RNA is filed under the name uncultured fungus. RNAcentral's name for it is "bacterial SSU rRNA". It matches the Rfam family "Eukaryotic small subunit ribosomal RNA", at positions 1344 to 1675 of the family's 1831-position model. The record is from RNAcentral. Lineage: Eukaryota; Fungi.
UAACCUGCUAAUUAGUACGCAUCAGUACUCUCAUUGAGAAUCUAUUGGUGUCUCGUACUUCUUAGAGGGACUAAUUACUCAAAGUAAUAGGAAGUUUGAGGCAAUAACAGGUCUGUGAUGCCCUUAGAUGUCCUGGGCCGCACGCGCGCUACACUGAUAAAGGCAACGAGUUCAUUCUUUGACCGAAAGGUCCGAGUAAUCUUGAAACUUUAUCGUGCUGGGGAUAGUUCAUUGCAAUUAUUGAACUUUAACGAGGAAUUCCUAGUAAGCACGAGUCAUCAGCUCGUGUUGAUUACGUCCCUGCCCUUUGUACACACCGCCCG